UUCAUGCCAAGGGAAGAUGCCUGUCGUAGACCAACUGUCCCUCUAUAAUGUGACCAGGUUACGGUGAGGUAGCUUAGUGGUUAAAGCGUGUGAUCUUCCUGCCAAGGGAAGAUGCCUGUCGAAGACCAACUGUCCCUCUAUAAUGUGACCAGGUUAAGGUGAGGUAGCUUAGUGGUCAAAGCGUGUGAUCUUCCUGCCAGAGAUUCCAUGUACACACAAUGUCUGCAGCCUGUUGUCUACUGUUGUGAUGUUGCUGGAAUAUUGCUGGAAUAUUGCUAACAGUGACAUAAAUGGGUUGAAGAUCAUGACAUUUCUCAAAACAAAAUGAUUACAAGAUAAUUAAUUUGUUAUUUUUGCAUGUAAUUUAACAAGUCUCUGGUCCCAGAUCCAUGUUUGUUUGUACUGUGUUUUGCCCUCGUGUUUGACACAGAUGUACAGCAUGUGUCCAAGUGAUGGACUGUGCAGGUGUACCACUCCCAGACUGUAUGUUGGUUCUGGAGAAGUCUUCACUGGACAUGUUUUUAUGAAAGUUGAAUAUUUUCAUGAAGGUAUAAUUGUAAAUGGUGACAGUUUUUGUGCUCAUCAUGCUAUUGAAAAUACAAUAAAGUCAUACCGUUCAAUAAA
Molecule: long non-coding RNA, 624 nt
Organism: Haliotis rubra (blacklip abalone)
Lineage: Eukaryota; Metazoa; Mollusca; Gastropoda; Lepetellida; Haliotidae
Exons: 2
Source: RefSeq, a predicted model, not a curated record